UGAAUACGAGACGCUAAGGCGUCGAAGUAGUGUAUGUCAUACUUCCAAGAAAAGCUUGCACUGUCAUAGAUAAAAAACGCCUGUACCACAACCGACACAGGUGGGUAGGUAGAGUAUACUAAGGGGCGCGAGAUAACUCUCUCUAAGGAACUCGGCAAAAUAACUCCGUAACUUCGGGAGAAGGAGUGCCUUAUUCGUAAGGUUGCAAUAACAAGAUCCAAGCAACUGUUUAUCAAAAACACAGGUCUCCGCUAAGUCGUAAGACGAUGUAUGGGGGCUGACGCCUGCCCAGUGCCAGAAGGUUAAAGAAGUUGGUUAGCAAUUGCGAAGCUGAUAACUGAAGCCCUGGUGAACGGCGGCCGUAACGAUAACGGUCCUAAGGUAGCGAAAUUCCUUGUCGGGUAAGUUCCGACCCGCACGAAAGGCGUAAUGAUUUGGAUACUGUCUCGGAGAGGGGCUCGGUGAAAUAGACUUGUCUGUGAAGAUGCGGACUACCUGCACCAGGACAGAAAGACCCUAUGAAGCUUUACUGUAACUUGAAAUUGAAAUUGGACUUUAUUCGCGCAGUAUAGGUGGGAGGCGUUGAUUAUAAUCUUGUGGGAUUAUUGGAGCCAUCAGUGAGAUACCACUCUUGUAAUGUUAGAUUUCUAACUUUGAAUCAUUAUCUGGUCAAAGAACAGUUUCAGGCGGGCAGUUUGACUGGGGCGGUCGCCUCCUAAACGGUAACGGAGGCGUACAAAGGUUUCCUCUGAACGGUUAGAAAUCGUAUCUAGAGUGUAAAGGCAUAAGGAAGCUUGACUGUGAGACCUACAAGUCGAGCAGGGACGAAAGUCGGUCUUAGUGAUCUGACGGUACUGAGUGGAAAGGCCGUCACUCAACGGAUAAAAGUUACUCUAGGAUAACAGGCUGAUCUCCCCCAAGAGUUCACAUCGACGGGGAGGUUUGGCACCUCGAUGUCGGCUCAUCGCAUCCUGGGGCGGUAGUACGUCCCAAGGGUUGGGCUGUUCGCCCAUGAAAGCGGUACGCGAGCUGGGUUCAGAACGUCGUGAGACAGUUCGGUCCAUAUCCGGUGUAGGCGUUAGAAUAUUGAGAGGAGCCUUCUUUAGUACGAGAGGACCGAGAAGGACAUACCUCUGGUGUACCAGUUAUCGUGCCAACGGUAAACGCUGGGUAGCUAUGUAUGGAGUGGAUAACCGCUGAAAGCAUCUAAGUGGGAAGCCCACCUCAAGAUAAGUAUUCUCAUC
Molecule: ribosomal RNA, 1244 nt
Filed under: metagenome
Description: bacterial LSU rRNA
Rfam family: Bacterial large subunit ribosomal RNA
Source: RNAcentral